This 457-nucleotide ribosomal RNA is filed under the name uncultured bacterium. RNAcentral's name for it is "bacterial SSU rRNA". It matches the Rfam family "Bacterial small subunit ribosomal RNA", at positions 340 to 786 of the family's 1533-position model. The record is from RNAcentral.
UACGGAAGGCAGCAGUGGGGAAUAUUGCACAAUGGGCGAAAGCCUGAUGCAGCUAUGCCGCGUGUAUGAAGAAGGCCUUAGGGUUGUAAAGUACUUUCAUCGGGGAGGAAAAAACAAAACUAAUAAUUUUAUUUCUUGACGUUACCCGAAAAAGAAGCACCGGCUAACUCCGUGCCAGCAGCCGCGGUAAUACGGAGGGUGCUAGCGUUAAUCAGAAUUACUGGGCGUAAAGAGCACGUAGGUGGUUUUUUUAAGUCAGAUGUGAAAUCCCUGGGCUUAACCUAGGAACUGCAUUUUGAAACUGAAAUACUAGAGUAUCGUAGAGGGAGGUAGAAUUCUAGGUGUAGCGGUGAAAUGCGUAGAUAUCUGGAGGAAUACCUGUGGCGAAAGCGGCCUCCUAAACGAAUACUGACACUGAGGUGCGAAAGCGUGGGGAGCAAAACAGGGAUUAGAUACC